RNAcentral lists this microRNA precursor (252 nucleotides) under Pelobates cultripes (western spadefoot toad). The record is from RNAcentral. Lineage: Eukaryota; Metazoa; Chordata; Amphibia; Anura; Pelobatidae.
CUCUGACCGUUUACCUUGCUUCCUUGAGCUUCUGGCAAAAAUAUCUCUAAUGAGAGUGAGAGCAGGACUUUUUUUUCUGUAUUUGUAUUAAAUUUUUGUAUCACACAGCCUGGUUACAAUGCUGCCGCCCAUCCCAUGUGUUCCCUAUUAAGGGUUAAUAAGUAUAUAGGGGGUAUAUAAAAAAUACCCCUCUCUGUCUCAGUUUUGAUAUCUUUGCCAGAAGCUCAAGGAAGCAGGGUGAAAGGUCAGUGU